Molecule: long non-coding RNA, 127 nt
Organism: Amblyraja radiata (thorny skate)
Lineage: Eukaryota; Metazoa; Chordata; Chondrichthyes; Rajiformes; Rajidae
Exons: 3
Source: RefSeq, a predicted model, not a curated record
GGCAGUUCCUCGCAGAGGGGUCAGGGGCAGUGAGGCAGGCGAGGAGCAGGUGGCCAGGGGGCAGCAACUCCCUCGGGGUAGGGGUUAGUGCAAGAGGGGGGAGAUCACUAACCUGGACAAAGCGGGC